CCGGUUUAACAGUUAGUUUACGCUCUAUUAUUGAAUGCAAAAAAACCCCCAGCAGGAAAUUCACUAUCCCAUGAAAAAAUAGCUUUCUGCGUAUUCUGCAUAAAAAUGAAUAUAGAAAAAUUGAAACAAAUAGAGAAUAAUCGUAUAAACGCAAGGAAGAUCUUACUAAAUAAAAGCGAUACUAUAAACUUUUCUCAUGUUCCUGGAUUUAUAAUUGAUUCUUUUUUUGGAAAAAAAAGUUAUAAGGCGCAAUUAAUAGUUUGUGUUUUUGCUUUCGUUAAUGGAAUCAGCGAGUCGCAACUCUUUCAACUAAUACGAUGGAUACCGUUCACAAAAACUCACUACAAAAAAAUAUCAGAUUUACUCUUAUGGCUUGAAAAUUCUCCAAACGCUCACAAGUACUAUAGCUAUAAUGUUAUACUUAAUCAAAUAGUUUUUUGUAACGGAGACUUACGAAAAUAUGGAGAAA
Bactrocera oleae (olive fruit fly) is the source of this 469-nucleotide non-coding RNA. The record is from RefSeq and is a predicted model, not a curated record. NCBI's taxonomy places the organism in Eukaryota, Metazoa, Arthropoda, Insecta, Diptera, Tephritidae.